This is a long non-coding RNA of Arachis duranensis, 1087 nucleotides long. RefSeq lists it as uncharacterized. The transcript has 4 exons. The record is from RefSeq and is a predicted model, not a curated record. NCBI's taxonomy places the organism in Eukaryota, Viridiplantae, Streptophyta, Magnoliopsida, Fabales, Fabaceae.
UCUUCUCUUUUGUUCAAUGAAAUCUCAGAGAAUUUGUGGAUGAAAGGCCACUUCCAUUCCAAGCAAUCCUUUCCACAAAGCAACAGUGUUCCAAACCUGAAUGAAAGAAUCUGCAGAACCCAGCUAACUAAGGACCAUGCUUCUGAUAUUUCAAACACAAACAGUAAUGAAGAUUCAAGCACAACAAUUGAAUCAAAUUGGCUAAGUUUGUGAUGAUCAUGAAGAAAAACAGCACAUGCAAGAUUCACAUGUAUGAUGCAUGUCAUACAUAACGUAUGAAGAAAAUAAUAAAAUAAAAUUCACCUCAUCAGGAAAUGGAGCCUGAGAACCAGAGAUAUUGUAGAAAGCUGAAAGUGCAUGAUUGUGUUGCGGGUUUUGUUCCUUGUUUAAUGGGAGAGAAGGCAAUAGGGCCUCACAGAAGGAAGCCAUAACUUGCAUCUGAGAGGAAGAUAGGCCAUGGCUGUAACCUUUCUCUCUUCUGUUACCUCCUCUCAGAAGAGGAGAAAGAUCAAGACAGUGAGUUUGAGGAAUGAAUUUGGAACAAAACAACGCUUGGUGUCAUUUUCAAUUAUGGGUUUGAACAGAAUUUUAUUAGUCUAAGCUUGGCAACUUUUAGUAGGAGAAUGAAAAAGAAAAAUAGGUAUAUUUUCAUCAUGAUUCAUGAUUAUGCUAACGUUGUUGAGCUUGGAAACAUGUGAAUGUUGGUCACUUUAUUAUAAUUUACUCUACCGACGCCAUUAAUUAGUUAGAAUAUAAACAUGAACUACAUGUAAUUUUGAAACCUGAAAAACUUGUUACACCAUGACUUAACUAGUUUCUACCUGAAAAAACUCAGUUAAUGAGUUAUUAGUUAAUAAUAGAUCUCUGUCACUAGUUUGUUACUGUAAGUAAUAUUUUCAGUUCUAGGCUUACCUGAAUAUGAUCGUAGAAAGAUAAUAGGGUAGCAAACACCAAAUUGUUGUUGAUUUUCUUGAUCCCAAUAAUGAGAAGUGUAGUGUUUCUCAAUGGCUUUGGUGCUUAGGUAUGAGUCUCGAGAUAUUAGAAUUAGAAAACAUAUAUGAUACGUGAGUAUCAGUGAUCCUUUAUA